CAGCGAUCGACAAACGCGGUUCCCCGCAGUAUUUGCGUGAUCGCCAGGCGAGAAGGAUUGAAUGAAGAGCCAAUGAGAUGCCACCUGCUGUGGACCUGUUGCUCUGGUAGGCAAAUUGGAGUGGAUCCAAGUCAUCUCUCAGGCAGGAGCCUAUAUAUUUCAUCACCAACCUCUCAAAACACUUCAUCACUGUGGAUCAAGUGCAACUGGGCAAUAGCAAUUGAGGCAGUUCACCACGCUCUUCUUGGGCACCGGUACAAUUGAAGCUUGCUUGAAGCAGUGAGUACCACGCACUUCUGAAGCAAGAGGUUAAAGAUCUCAGUGAAAGCACAAGCCAGUUGAUCAGCACAUAUCUUUAGUUCAUGGCCAGGUACCCCGUCUGGUCCAAAUGUUUUUAGUGGAUUCACACUCCUGAAGGCAGCUCACAUGUCAGCUUCAGAGACUGAAACCAUUGGAUCUUUGGAAGUUGUUGGAGUUCACAAUGGUUCCUGCAUGUUUUGACAGCCAAAAAGAGUAUAGAAGGCAUUUGGCUCAUCUGGGAUCAAAGCCCAUGUAGUUUGAUUUAACUUUAUAAGAGGUGACAGCAUUCAAACCCCACCAGAGCUGUUGAGAAUCACUAAUUGAUUCAAGUUUGUGUCCCUAUCGUAUCAUCCUCUACCACCACCCAUGGCAGUGUGUUCUAGGCACCCACCGCUCCUUGUGUAAAUAAAAACUACCUCUGACACCUCCCCUAAAUAUUCAUCUAUUCAUCUUAAUGGAAGUCCUCUGGUAUUGGCCAUUGCUGCCCAAGGAAAAAGGAGCUGGCUUUUCCCUCUAUUUAUGCCUCCCGUAAUCCUCGUCAUCCUUUACUAAAAUCCAUAUACACUACAGCCACUACUCUACAUUCAUCAAUUUGUGUUGUAACUUCCUCAAAGAAAAUCUCACUUAGGCUGCCAUUCACAAAACCUCGCCGAUAUCCCAAGUAAGACUGUGCUUCUCCAAAUGCUCAUUAAUCCUGUUACUAAGAAUCCUCCACAAUAGUUUGCCCACCACUAAUGUAAGAAUCAUUUGUCUAUAAUUCCCAGGAUUAUCCCUGCAACCUUUCUUGAACAAUGGAACAUUCUUCAUUACUCUGGUUCUAUCCUGUGGUCAUGGAAGACAUAAAGAUCAUUGCUAAUACCCCAACAAUCUUUUCCCUCACUUUCUGUAGAAAUAAGGGAUAUUUUCUGUCCAGUCCCGGAGACUUAACUAUUCUAAUGUCUUUCAGAAGCUCUACAACUACUUCAACAUGCUCCAGCACAUGUAGCCUGUACUAGGUUGACUUCAGAUUCAUCACAGUUCCUCUCCUUUGAGAACACUGAACGGAAGUAUUUAUUAAAGACCUCCAAUACCUCCUUUGUCACAGCUUUCCCCUUUUAUCCCUGAGCUCUAGACAUCCUCCAGUUCUUCAUGUACGUGUAGACAGCCUUAGAAUUUUCCUUAAUCCCAUUCACUAAGGCCUUCCCACUUACCUUUCUAGCUAUCCUACAUCCCUUCUUAAGCUCCUUUCUGGCUUCAUUAUCAGACCCAUCUGCAGUACAGGCAGGAUGUUUAAGGUGGUGGGAUACUCCUCCUGUCAGAUGGGGGACUUGAAGGUACUUAACAGUCUCCAGGAAAUGCACCCAAUUUCAGCUCCUGACUAACAAGGUUAAGGAACUGGAUGUACUCAGGAUCAUCUGGGAGGCUCAUGGAUGAAAAUUUUACUGAGGUGGUCACACCCAGAGAUCAGGCUUCAGAGGGUAGAUGGGUGACCACCGGAAGAAGUAAGGGGAGUCUGCAGUUAAUGCAGGAUUUGCCGUGGCCAUUUCCCUCAGCAACAAUUAUACCCCUUUGGAUACUUCUGUGGGGGGUGGGGGGGGGGUGACCUAUCAGGACACAGCAGUAGCAGCCAGGCCAGUGGCACUGUAGGCUCCGAGCAGGGAAGAGUGACGUCUGGUAGAGUGAUAGUGAUUGGAGACUUGACAGUUAAGGCUGAUUUAUACUGUGCGUCACAUCUACGCCAUAGUUACCACAUACCCUACAGUGUAGGGUGACAUGUAACUCCCCAAAAAACUAACACACGCGUCGCGGCGAUGAAGACCACAACAACUGUGAUUGGUCCACUUGGUAGCAUCGUAUUUCCUCCUACGUAUUUCUGGUUGCUUCUUCUCCGCCAUGUUUGUACACCAAUGCGAAAUAGAUGAACCAAAUCAUCUAAUCUACCUGCCGACGUGUGAAAAUGUUUGAAACGCAUUUUCUCAUCUAUGUCUCUCAUGAAGAAACUCUACACACUGGCAUAGAAACCCCACUGCCAACUAGCAUUUUGGCGCACUCCAGCGCAUGCUCGCUACGGUGUAAAGCCUACGCAGAAGUGAAAAUCAGGGCUAUGGCGUAGGCUACGGCAUAGCCCAUACGUACAAGUAUAAAUCAGCCUUAAGGGAAAUGGACAGGAGAUUAUGUGACCACAAAAGAGACACCAAGUGCUAGGGAGCACUGGAUCACAGAUGUCGCAGAGCAGCUGCAGAAUAUUCUCAAGGGGGGGACGGGAGUAAUCAGCCAGAGGUUGUGGUGCACAUUGGUACCAAUGACAUAGGUAGAAGAGGUCCUCCAUAGUGAGCAUAGGGAGUCACUGAAGAAGCUGAAGAGCAGGACCUCCAAAAUAGUAAUCUCUGAAUCACUUCCAGUGCCAACUGCUUGUCAGGGCAGGAAUAGGAUGAUUGUACAGAUAAAUGGCUGAGGAACUGGUGCAGGGGCAGGAUUUUAGGUUCUUGAAUAAUUGGAACCUUUUCUGGGGUAGGAGCAAUCUGUACAAGAGGGAUGGGUUGCACCUAAGUGGAGGAGAACCAAUAUCCUGGCCAGGAGGUUUGCUAGUGCAACUCAGGAGGGUUUAAACUUGCUUGGCAGGCGACAGAAUCCAGAGCACCAGGACAGAAAAUGGAGGGUUUCAAAGGGAGUUAGAUGUCAGGGCCAGUAAAUUCAUGCAGGAGCAAAGUGAUAGAUACAAUGGGACAGAUAUUUUGAAGUGUGUAUAUUUUAAUGUGUGGAGUAUUAUGGGCAAAGGUGGUGAACUCAGAUCAUGGUGCAGUACUUGGAAUGAUGCUGUUGUGGUUAUUUUAAAGAUUUGGUAGAGGGAGCAACAGGAACGUGAGCUUAAUGUUCCUGGGUUUUGAUGUUUUUGAAAAUAAAAGAGAGGGAGGUAAAAGCAGUGAGGGAGUUACACUUAUAAUCAGGAACAAUAUCGGAGCUCCACUCAGUGGACAUAAUGGAAGGCCCUUCCACUGAGUCCAUAUGAGUAAAACUCAAAAAUAUGAAGGGUGCAAUCAUUCUGUUGGGAUUAUAUUACAAGGCCCCAAUAGCCAGCAGGGCAUUGAGGAACAUAUAUGCAGGCAGAUUAGAAAAGGUGUGAAAACACUAGAGUUGUUGGCAUGGAGGACUUCAACUUCCUGAACAUAAUCUGUGACCUUCUUAGUCCAAAUGGUUUAGAAGGGGCAGACACAAGGAAAUCUGCAGAUGCUGGAAAUUCAAACAACAUACACAACAUGCUGGUGGAAUAUAGCCGCCAGGCAGCAUCUAUAAGGAGAAGCACUGUCGACAUUUUGGGCCGACACCCUUCGUCAGGACUAGAAGGGGCAGAAUGUGUUAAGUACAUCCAGGAGGAUUUCUUAAAUCAAUAUGGAGGUAGUCUAACGAGAGGAGGGGUUGGACUCCACCUGGUGUUGAGUAAUGAGCUUGGCCAGGUGACUGACCUGGGUGAGCAGUUAGGGAACAGAGACCAUAACUCCUUUAAGGUUUUAAGAUAGUUAUAGAUAAAGAUGAGCAUGGACCUUCCAGGGGAGAAUUAAACUGGAGUAGGGCAAAUUACAAGAGCAUUAGGCAGGAACAAGGGAGAGCUAAUUUGGAACAGCUGCUUUUAGCAAAUCCACAUCCGACAUAUGGGCGGUGUUUGAAGACCGAUUACACAAGAGUAUAGGACAGAUACGUUCCAUUCAGAAGGAAGGACAAGGAUGGCAAAGUCAGAGAACCUUAAAUGUCAUGAAAGGUGAUGCAUUUAGUCAAGAAGUAGAAGUAUGGGUAUGAAAUGCUUAGGAAGUUAAAUUCAAACAGAGUCCUUGAGGAUUAUAAAGAAGUCAGAAAACAACUCAAGAAGGGAAUUUGGAAAGCAAGGAGGGAACAUGAAAAGUCCUUGGCAAGAAGGAUUAAAGAGAAUCCCAAGGCAUUCUAUUCACAAACCAGGAGCAAGAGGAUAACUAGGAAGAAGGCAGGACCACUCAAGAAUAAAGGGGGGGGGGGAUAUAUGCUUGGAUGCAAAGAAUGUGGGUGAUGUCCUUAAUGAGUACUUUACAUCAGUAUUGACCAAGGAGAAAAAUGUGGAGGACAGGAAGAUCAGUGUUGAGUGUAUUGAUAUGUUAGUGCAUUUCAAAGUAGAGGAGGUGGUGGUAUUGGGGCUCUUAAAAAGCAUUAAGGUGGAUAGGUCUCCAGGGCCUGAUGGGAUACACCCCAGGUUAUGGAGAGGUGUAAGUGAAGAAACUGCUGUGGUCUUGACCAAUACCUUUGUGUCCCCUCUAGUCACAGAUGAGGUCCCAGAGGACUGGUGAUUAGCUAAUGUUGUUUCAUUUUUCAAGAAAGGAACCAGGGAUGAUCCUGGAAACUAUAGACCGGUGAGUUUCAUGUUAGUGGUAGAAAAGUUAAUGGAAAGAAUUCUAAGAGAUAGUAUUUAUGAGUACUGGGAAAGCCAUGGCCUAAUUAGGGAGAGCCAGCAUGGCUUUGGGCAUGACAAGUCAUGUCUUACUAACUUGAUUGAGUUUUUUGUUGAGGUGAUGGCAAUGGUUGAUUAAGGUAGAGCUGUGGAUGUUGACGACAUAGAUUGUAGUAGGGUGUUUGACUAGGUCCCAAAUGGGACGCUCAUUCAGAAGAUUAAGAUGCAUGGGACCUAUAGUAAAUUGGCCAUUUGGAUUCAGAACCAGUCUGCCCAUAAAACUCAGGGGUUGACGUUUGAAGGGACUUAUUCUAACUGGAGGUCUGUGGUUUGUGGGGUUCCACAGGGAUCUGUUCUGGGACCUCUGCUGUUUGUGAUGUAUAGAAAUGACUAGGAUGAAAAUGUAGAUGGGUGAGUUAGUAAGUUUGCAGAUGAUAUGAAGAUUGGUGGUGUUGUGGAUAUUUUAAAUGACUGGUAAAUAAUACAACGGGAUAUAGAUCAGUUGCUGAUAUGGGUGUACGGCAAAUGGUGUUUAACUGGGCCAAGUGUGAGGUGUUGCAGCUUGGUAAGUCAAAUGUAAAAAGACAGAGGGAUGAGCAGAGCAAUCUUGGGAUCUAAGUUCAUAGCUCCCUGAAAGUAGCUACAUAGAUUCGUAGGAUGGUGAAGAAGGCAUGUGGCAUGCUUACCUUUAUUAGUCAAGGCACUGAGUUCAAAAGUCAGUAAGGUAUUUUGCAGCUUUAUAAAACUCUAGUUCGGCUGCAUCUGAAGUAUUGCAAACAUUUAUGGUCAAUUGAGUUGAAGAAGGGGUAAUUUCAAAGGAGAUAUAAGGGACAAGUUUUUUACACAAAUUUGUGGUGGAAUCCUGGAAUGCAGAUAGAGGUAAAUACAGAUAUUUAGAUAGGUACAUGAAUGUGAACAAACUGGAAGGAUAUGGACAUUAUGUCGGCAGAAGAGAUUAGCUUAGUGAGCCACUUGAUUACUAAUUUUUUUCAGUUUGGCACAACAUUGUGGACUGAAGGACCUGUUCUUGUGCUCUACUGUUCUAUAUUCUCUGUUAACCGUGCCUGAUUUUUUGCUUCCUAAAUCUUAAGUAUGCUUCUUUCUUCCUCUUGACAAGAUGUUCCACAUCUCUUGAAACUAAGAUUCUUUGCUUUACUAUCCUUUCCAUUCAGAAAGGACAUAAUGGCAGCCACAUCCACUGAGUCUCUAUGGGUAGAACUCAAAAAUAGGAAGGAUGCAAUCACUCUGAUACAAUUGUACUACAGACCCCCUUCCCCCCCCCACCCCAAUAGCCACUGGAACAUUGAGGAACAGAUAUGCAGGCAGAUUAAGGAAAGGUGUAAAAACAAUAGUGUUGUUGUCGAGAGGUACUUCAACUUCCCUAAUAUAAACUGUGACCUUUUGAGUGUGGGUUUUCAGGCUCCUGUACCUCCUCCCUGAUGGUAGUGAUAAGAAGUGGGCAUGUCCUAGAAUGUGAGGGUCGUUAAUGAUGGAUGCUGCCUUCUUGAAAGCUGUCCUUGAAGGUCUGGGGAUAGAGGGUUGCAUGGGAGUGAGCCAGUGCUUACUGUCAGAGUACCAAGUUCAAAGUAAAUUUAUUAUCAAGGUACAUAAAUGUUACCAUUUACAACCCUAAGAUUCAUUUUCUUGUGGGCAUACUCAAUAAAUCCAAGAACCAUAUUAGAAUCAAUGAAAGAUCACAUCAAUGGUGCGGACCAGUAUGUAAAAAACAACAAACUCUGCAAGUACAAAAAAAAUUAAUAAUAAUAAAUAAGCACACAAUAAGUAUCAAGAACAUGAGAUGAAGAGUCUUUGAAAGUGAAUCCAUAAGUUUUGGAAACAGUUAAGUGAUGGGACAUUUUAAGUUGAGUGAAGUUAUCCCCUCUGAUACAGGAGCCUAAUGGUUGAGGGUUCAUAACCUGGUCAUGUGAGUCCUGAGGCCCUUGAACCUUCUUCCUGAUGGCAGCAGUGAGAAGGAAGCAUGACUUGGGUGAUGGGGUCCUUCAUAGUGGAUGCUUCUUUCCUGCAAUAACACUUCACGUAGGUGUGCUCAAUGGAGAGGAGGACUUUACAUGUGAUGGAUUGGUCAAUAUCUACUACUUUUGGUAGGAUCUUCCAUUAAGGACAUUGGUGUUUCCAUACCAGUCAAUAUAUUCUUCACCACACAUCUAUAGACGUUCGUCAAAGUUAUAGAUGACAUGUCGAAUCUUCACAACUCCAAAGGAACUAGAGGCGCUGCUGUGCUUUCCAAGGCAGGUCCUCUGAAAUAAUAACACUGAGGAAUUUUAAAGUUGUUGACCCUCUCCACAGCUGAUCCUCCAAUGAGGACGGCUCAUGAACUUCUGGUUUCCUCCUCCUUAGGUCCUUGAUCUUGCUGACAUUGAGUAAGAGGUUGUUGUUGUGGCACCUGUUAUGAGUGCUGAACAGACCUGAUGGAAAUGGGGUGCAAAGUUAACCAUUCCCCCCUCCUGCUUUUGAGAACUAUGAACUAUUACUAUUGCUAUGCUGCUAAUGAGAGAGAGAGAUGAAGCACAGAAGCAGGGACAUCUGCUACACAUAACAGAGAGAGACACACAGUUGAUUUAUGUAUUAUGGCUUCCUGGAUUGUUUACCUUUCGCUACAAGGACGUUACUUUGCUCCUUAACAUCCCUAAGGAGACAGCAGGAGUGGCCUGAUUUGAUGGACAUGGUCAUUUUGAGUUGAUGGAUGGCUGAUACCCCAUCAGUGGGGAUAAAAGACAGGUGUGGGGAGACACCCCUCAGACACACCAGUGGACACUGACCGAGUGUUGUGCACCCACAGGAAGGUGGGGGCUUCGAGGACUGAAUCAGGUGAUCAGUCAAUAAAGCUCACAGUGUGACGGCAGGGCUGGUGGGGACUUGUGUGUAUGUCCAUUCAUGCCAGAGUGACGAGUCCACCACAGAAGAACGGUCUAGCUGAGGACGGAGGGGUCAUAACCGAAUGACCACAACUGUACGAUGGAAUCAGAAUUCAACAGAAGGUUUGCUGGCUGUAGCUGCUCAAUCUCUUGCUCUCUCUCCAACGAAUUACAAUACAAUAACCGCAACUACCUCAACUGAACUGAACUCUAUAUUCUCUUAUGACAAUUCAUUUACCCCAGACAUUGAUAGAGCUUGUUUAUUAUUGCUUAUUAUUAUUCUUACACUUAAAGUUUUAUUAUUGCUAACCUGUUUUAUCUGUAUAUUUGUAUUAUUGGUAUUGUUUUGCUUAUUUUACUAACAAACACCCUUGGUUAUAGUACCACCAGACUCCAACGGAUUCUUCUAUUUCUGCUGGUCUGUAAACCCAGUUAUGGGGUACAUAACACACCACUCAGCCAGACUUUCAAUCUCCCUCCUGUAUGCUGAUUCAUCACCACCUUUGAUUUGGCCUAUGACAGUAGUGUUGUCAACAAACUUGUAUAUGGCAUUGGAGCUGUGCUUAGCCACACAGUCGUAAGUGUAAAAUGGUUAGAGCAGGGGGCUAAACACACAGCCUUGUGGUGUACCUGUGCUAAUGGGUAUUGUGGAGGAGAUGUUGUUGGAACUGUAAGUGAGGAAAUCGAGGAUCCAAUUGCACAAGGAGGUAUUGAGUCCAAAGUCUCAGAGUUUACUGAUUAGUUUUGAGAGGAUGAUGGUAAUGAACGGCAAGUUAUGGUCAAUAAAGAACAUCCUCAUGUUUGCAUCUUUGCUGUCCAGAUGUUCCAGGGAUGAGUGAAGAGCCAAUGAAAUGGCAUCUGCUGUGGACCUGUUGCAGUGCAUUUUGCAGUGAGCUCUGUAAGAUGAUGCAGGAGGGAGGGAUGUGAAUUGGCAAGGAAGUCUUUGAGUACCUAGUGUUACCUGCAGUGAAUUUGAUUGAACAUAUCAGUGAUUGGAGGUCUCAAGAGGAGUGCAAAUGAUGCUUAAUAUUUAUGGCAGGUAUCAGGAAGAUGGUCACACUUUCAGGGAAGUGUGUCAGUCAGAGUAAAAGGAUCAGCAUUUAGCAGAAUCCUCGGUGGGGAAAGGGUCGUUAUUAGUGGUGGGUGUCAGAGAAACUGACAUUUACAGGGAAUUAGGGGAGAAGAUCAGGUUGUUCACCAUUCCUUGGAGAAAUCUGGCAUUUUCAGGGAGGCUUGGCAGAAGGUCACUAUUUUUGAUUAUUGGUGUUGGGCUGUUGUGGGUGAGCCUAUCAUUGGAGUCUGGCAUGUAUCUACUUCUCACACUUCUUCUAAAAUUGGAGAAGUAGAAUGGCUGAACUGGUUGCUGUGGCAUUUUGUGGGAUAGGUGAAUGUGAGCAGGGUAUGUAAUUAUUCACAGGAAUCCAGAACCUCCCAAUGGCCAAUUCACUGAGAGGCAGAAGCCCAGUGGAGGUCCCAGCUUGGUGACUCCUGACUGACAGGCACAGGGUCAGUGGACGAGCUCAAAAGUUACGGGUGCAAAAUCAUCUGUUGCCCUAUCUGUAUUUCUCUCUCUCACCCUCUCUGUCUUUCUUUAUGUAUCUCUGUGUGUCUCUGUCUGGAUGCCCCAUUAAAGCAGAGAUGAGUUGAAGAAAUACCAGGACUGAAGGCACUAUUUUGGAAAUGAAACAAGAGAAGUUCCACCUACCAUCCUCCCUCAGCUGAUCAACCUCUCGUCUCCAUGCCAUCAGAAGCCCUGAAGUAGAAUCUAUAUGGGGACCUCAUCAUCACCACCACUACCUAUCCACAAUGUAAUUGCUUGAAAUUGUCACAGCACAAACACUGUGGAGGCAAUGUCUGGGCCAUGCCAUUGACCCUUCAACCAUUUGGUUCUUGAACCAACUUGCACAACCCUCAUCACUACCUCAGUACAGCAAUAUAAUGACCACAUUGCACUGCAAUAGGCUUUGUUUUUUCUGUGUUCUUUCUUGUAGAAAGUAUUAUAUAAUAUGUAUUUCUUGUGCAUGCUGAUUAUCUGAUGCAAUAUGCCUGAUAAACUGCUGCAAAUUAAUUACUUUAUCAUUAUCACGUGUACUGAGGUACAGUCUUUGUAUAUUGUUCAGUUGGAUCAAUUCACUACACAGUGCAUUGAAGUAGAACAAGGUAAAAUAAUAACAAUGCAGAGUAAAGUGUUAGAGUUACAGGUAAAGAGCAAUGCAGGCAGACAAUAAGGCAUUAUUAUCAUAGAAUGUAGAACGUAGCGCAGUACAUGUCCUUGGACCAUUGUGUUGAACUGAACCUUUACCUAUUCUGAGAUCAAUCUAACCCUCCCUUACACAUAGCCCUUCAUUUUUCAAUCAUCCAUGUGCCUGUCUAAGAAUUUCUUAAAUGUACCUAAUGUAUCUGCCUCCAUCACUACUCCUGGCUGUGAAUUCCAUGUACCUACCACUCUCUGUAUACAUAAUAUAUAAAAAAACAACUCUGGCAACAUUACAUACUUCCCUUCAAGAUACUUAAAGUUUUAACCCCCUGUAUUAGCUACUUGCACCCUGGGAAAAAGUCUCCAGCUGUCCACUCUAUCAAUGCCUCUUAUCAUCUUGUGCACCUCAAUCAAGUUAUUCUCAUCCUUCUCUUCAAAGAAAAACGCCCUAGCUCGCUCAACCUUUCCUCGUUAGGCAUGCUUUCUAAUCCAGACAGCAUCCUGGUAAAUCUACUCUGCACCCUCUAAAUGUCUCACAUCUUUCCUAUAAUUAAGCGACCAGAACAGAACACAACUCUCCAUGUGUAAUCUAACCAGAGUUUUAUAGCACUGCAUCAUUGCCUUGCGGCUCUUGUGUUCAGUCCCCCAAAUAAGAAGGCAAAUGGCAUUUUGACCUUUAUUGCAAAGAGGUUGGAGGUCUUGUUGCAGUUGUUCAGGGGUUCGAUGAGGCCCUACUUGGAGUGCUGUGCACAGUUUUGAUUCCCUGUCUUAAAAUUGGACCUAGUCAUAUCUGAAGUAGGUGUGAAGGAGAUUCACCAGGGUAAUUCCUGGAGUGUGAGUUUGUCCUACAAAGAGAAGAUAAAUAGUUUGGGUCUGUAUUCCUUGGAGUUCAGGAGAUGGUGGGGGAGUACAUUAUUCAAACAUGCAAGAUCCUAAGGAGGUUUGACAGGGGUGAUAUUGGAAUGUUUUUACCAUCGGGAGCACAUAACUACAAGAUAAGGAUAUGGUCAUUUAAAAUGAGGAUACAUAGAAAUUCUUUAAGCAAAAGGUUACUGGAUUCUCCACUCCAUUAGAUGGGUACUCCAAGUAUUUGAAGUGGAGAUGGAUAAAUAUUUGAUGGAUCAAGUAACCGAGGAGUAUGGAACAAUAACACUAAAGAGGAGAUGUGCCCAGUGUAGAUCAGCCAAAGUCACACUAAAUGCAGGGCCUGUUUGAGGGGCUGUGACUAUUCUUGAUGAUAUUUUCAGUUUUCAUGAUGAACACCAGGAAUACUACCAAUGCAUGCUGGGAACAUGUGUUUGGAGAUGCUGGGACCUGUAACUGGAGAAAUUCAGCAGGUCAGGCAGCAUCUGCAGUACAAGAAACAGUUCAUGUUUCAGAUCAAUACUGACAGGACAUUCUUUCUUUUUCUCUCUCUUUCUAUAGAUACUGCAUGAUGUACUUGGUGUUUCCAGCAUUUCAUAUUUCUGCAUCAGGUUUCCUACAUCUGCAGGUUUUUGCUUUUCAUUUAUUGUCCAAAUCACAAUUUUGCCUCUUUGGAUCCUUCUCACAGUCUAUUCCAUCUCACACUAAGACCCAGCUUUGUGUCAUCUGCAUUAUUUGAAGUGUUAUAUUUGAUUUCCUCAUCCAAAUCUCUGAUACAUUUAGUGAAUAUGGGUCCAACGUUCAGCAGUGGGCCCUUAGCAGCCCAUUUGUCUCUGCUUGCCAUGGGAAAAUAUCCAGUUUAUUCCUUUUCCAUAUCUAUCAACCAUAUCAAUAAUUUCCCCAAAUUCCAACUGCUUCAGCUUUGCUUGCUAACCUGUUAUCAAAACCCUUUUGUAAGUCCAAAUGCACUACCACCACUGGUUCUCCAUUGCUAAUCCUAUAACUAAUACCCUCGAAAGAAAACUCCAGUAGAUUUAUUAAGCAGGAAUUGUCUUUCAUAAGCAUAUGCUGAUGCUCCCAAUCCCAUUGAUCCUUUCCAAGUGUUCAGUUCUUACAUAAUAUAUUCCAGUGGUUUUCCCCACUGUUAAUUUACUUGAUCCACCAUCCACUGAGGCUUUGUUAGGCAUUUGUCAGACCACACUUGGAGAAUUGUGAGCAAUUUUGGACCCCUUAUCUGAGAAAGGAUGUGCUGGCUUUGGAGAAGGUCUAGAGGAGGAUGAUCCUGGGAACAAAAGGGUUAACACAUGAGGAAUGUGUGAUGGCUCUGGGCCUGUAAUCACCGUUUAGAACAGGGGUCGGCAACCCGCGGCUUCGGAGCCGCAUACGGCUCUUUCAUCUCUGUGCUGCGGCUCCCUGUAGCUUUGGAAAAUAAAUGAUGAGUAUUUAAUUAAAAUGUAUUUUAUGUUAGUUUGUUAGUUUUUGAAAUGUAAUUCUAAAUUUGAAGAUUAUGGUGAUCUUGUACAAUCUAAAUAAAAUGUGUUUUUUGUCGCUAUUAAUAUAUGUCACCACUGCCAAUGCCUGACACCCGCCCGCCAGUGCGUGAUUUCUUUAAUUUUUCGAUCCAAGGUUGGCUAACUAUGGAGAAUUCUAAAAAAAGAAAAGUGACUGAAGAAAACAGAACGUUUAAUGAUACGUGGGCAGAUUCAUUUGCUUUCACUGCUGACGAGACUGGUUUACCGGUAUGCUUAAUAUGCAAUGAGAAACUAGCAAACAACAAAAAGUCAAAAGUUGCAAGACAUUUCCAGAAUAAACACGCAGCCUUUGCUCAAAAAUAUCCGGAUGGAGAUGAGAGAAAAAAAGCUGUUUCGGAACUGAUGCGGAAGGUUGAUCUGAGCAAAAAUCAUUUCAAGAAGUGGAUGAAGUCUGGAAAAUCAACUACAUAUGCUAGUUUUGUUGCCGCUCAGGAAAUAGUCAGGCACGGGAAGCAGUUUACAUAUGGUGAAUAUAUAAAAGAAUCUUUCAUUAAGAUUUCAGAACAUCUAUUCACGGACUUUAAAAACAAGAGUGAAAUUGUGCAGAAAAUCAGGGAUAUGCCCCUCUCUGCAAAGACUGUCAAAGACAGAACCAUAAAAAUGGCAGAAGACAUCACAAGACAGUAAAUUAAAGACAUCAAUUAAGCUGUGGCCUACUCGAUUGCCUGUGAUGAUUCUAAAGACAAAGGUGAUAUUGAACAAAUAGCGCUGUUCCACUGGUAUGUAAACUCUGCCGGGCCACAGGAAGAAAUGAUUGAGCUGAUACCUCUAAAAGGCCAAACACGGGGGGAGGACAACUGUGAGGCUGUCUUGAAUCGUUUAAGAGCCAAAGGAAUAAAGACCACCCACCUGGUGUCAGUAGCUACUGAUGGGGCACCAAGUAUGACAGGAGUGCACAAGGGAUUUGUGGCUUUACUGCAGAAGUCGCUGGACAGAAAGCUGCUAACUUUUCACUGCAUCUUGCACCAAGAGGCACUGUGCGCUCAUACAUUUCCUCCGGAAUGCACAGAAGUAAUGGAUGUUGUCAUUCAGAUUGUCAAUAAAAUAAUGGCAAAAAGUUUAAAUCACCAUCAAUUCCGUUUGUUACUGGACGAGCUGGAAAGCGCAUAUUCUGAUCUCUUGCUACACAACAAAGUCCAGUGGCUGUCCAGAGGGGAGGUGCUGAAAUGCUUUGUCGCGUGUCUGGAAGAAGUGAAAAAUUUCCUGGGCAGCAAAGGUCUCACCUUUCCUGAGCUGGAACAGCCAGAGUGCCUGUAAAAGCUACACUUCAUGGUAGACAUGACAGUGCACCUGAACAUGCUGAACACAGCUCUUCAGGGGAAAGGACGCACAGCCCUGCACAAGUUGGAGGAUGUUUUGGCAUUCGAGCGCAAGUUGACAGUGCUUGCCAGAGAUUUACAGAAAGGCACAUUGUCUCACUUCCCCAAUUUGAGAGAGUUCAAACAAGCUCACGACAUGAUAAAUUCAGAGUAUUUACAUUCUGCAAUCAUCGCAAUGCAAACAUCGUUUGGGAAACGCUUCUGUGAGUUCAGACAGGUAAAAAACACAUUAUCCUUCCCAGUCACUCCCCUAAGCAUUGAUCCAUCCCUACUGAAUACGACUGCAUUGGCAGGUGUGAGUCAACCUGAUCUUGAGAUGGAACUGGCCGACAUAGCCGACAAAGACAUAUGGGUGUCCAAGUUCAGACGCUUGACAGCAGACCUUGAAGAUGUUGCCCGUCAGAAGGCCAUUCUUGCUCAGAAUCACAAAUGGAGUGAUAUUGAAAACCUCCCCAAACCGGACAAAAUUGUGUUCGAAACAUGGAAUGCUAUCCCGGACAUUUAUGUAAACAUUAAAAAGUAUGCGCUUGCAGUCCUGUCGAUCUUUGGAUCCACAUAUGUAUGUGAGCAGGUGUUCUCCAACAUGAACUUUAUUAAAAACAAACAUCGUGCACGCCUCACAGAUGACAGCUUGCGAUCCUGUGUAAAGAUGAAGGUGACGUCGUACAGCCCUGAUGUGCAGACGCUGAGCGCUGAGGUCCAGGAGCCUAAAUCCCAUUAACCAAGUUGACAGCUGGCUGACGUUAUUUUUGGUUUGCUGCUGGCGGACAAUUUAAGUUUGGCGUUUUUCAUAAAUACAAGAAGGACUCAAACAGACAUUGAGUAUUUUACUUAAAAGUAACCUUCAACCCAACAUCUUUUUUUCGGAGUUCAAACUGUUUUUGUUGCAUGCAGAAAUGUAAUUUCGUUUUCUCUGCAGGAGUUCAUCGAUUUCAUAAAUGCAACACAUUAUAGUUUGUUUAUACGUAGCAUAAAGGCAAAAAAAAUGUUGUAUGCAGUGUUAUUUCAUUUUAAAUGUCAAACGGGUUUUGUGGCUCCCAGUGUUUUCUUUUCUGUGGGAAACGGGUCCAAAUGGCUCUUUCAGUGGUAAAGGUUGCUGACCCCUGGUUUAGAAGAAUGGGGAGUCGAGGGAAAUCUCAUUGAAACCUAUUGAAUGUUGAAAGGAACCGGCCUUUCAGAAAAUCAGACAGUA
Hypanus sabinus (Atlantic stingray) is the source of this 14673-nucleotide long non-coding RNA. RefSeq lists it as uncharacterized. The record is from RefSeq and is a predicted model, not a curated record. Lineage: Eukaryota; Metazoa; Chordata; Chondrichthyes; Myliobatiformes; Dasyatidae. The transcript has 3 exons.